UGCUGAAGCAACAAAUGCCCUGCUUCCAGGAAAAGCCUCUAAGCAUCAGGUAACAUCAAAUCGUACCCCAAACCGACACAGGUGGUCAGGUAGAGAAUACCAAGGCGCUUGAGAGAACUCGGGUGAAGGAACUAGGCAAAAUGGUGCCGUAACUUCGGGAGAAGGCACGCUGACACGUAGGUGAAGUGAUUUACUCAUGGAGCUGAAGUCAGUCGAAGAUACCAGCUGGCUGCAACUGUUUAUUAAAAACACAGCACUGUGCAAACACGAAAGUGGACGUAUACGGUGUGACGCCUGCCCGGUGCCGGAAGGUUAAUUGAUGGGGUCAGCGCAAGCGAAGCUCCUGAUCGAAGCCCCGGUAAACGGCGGCCGUAACUAUAACGGUCCUAAGGUAGCGAAAUUCCUUGUCGGGUAAGUUCCGACCUGCACGAAUGGCGUAAUGAUGGCCAGGCUGUCUCCACCCGAGACUCAGUGAAAUUGAACUCGCUGUGAAGAUGCAGUGUACCCGCGGCAAGACGGAAAGACCCCGUGAACCUUUACUAUAGCUUGACACUGAACAUUGAGCCUUGAUGUGUAGGAUAGGUGGGAGGCUUUGAAGUGUGGACGCCAGUCUGCAUGGAGCCGGCCUUGAAAUACCACCCUUUAAUGUUUGAUGUUCUAACGUGGACCCGUGAUCCGGGUUGCGGACAGUGUCUGGUGGGUAGUUUGACUGGGGCGGUCUCCUCCUAAAGAGUAACGGAGGAGCACGAAGGUUGGCUAAUCCUGGUCGGACAUCAGGAGGUUAGUGCAAUGGCAUAAGCCAGCUUGACUGCGAGCGUGACGGCGCGAGCAGGUGCGAAAGCAGGUCAUAGUGAUCCGGUGGUUCUGAAUGGAAGGGCCAUCGCUCAACGGAUAAAAGGUACUCCGGGGAUAACAGGCUGAUACCGCCCAAGAGUUCAUAUCGACGGCGGUGUUUGGCACCUCGAUGUCGGCUCAUCACAUCCUGGGGCUGAAGUAGGUCCCAAGGGUAUGGCUGUUCGCCAUUUAAAGUGGUACGCGAGCUGGGUUUAGAACGUCGUGAGACAGUUCGGUCCCUAUCUGCCGUGGGCGCUGGAGAACUGAGGGGGGCUGCUCCUAGUACGAGAGGACCGGAGUGGACGCAUCACUGGUGUUCGGGUUGUCAUGCCAAUGGCACUGCCCGGUAGCUAAAUGCGGAAGAGAUAAGUGCUGAAAGCAUCUAAGCACGAAACUUGCCCCGAGAUGAGUUCUCCCUGAGACUUUAGGUCUCCUGAAGGAACGUUGAAGACGACGACGUUGAUAGGCCGGGUGUGUAAGCGCAGCGAUGCGUUGAGCUAACCGGUACUAAUGAACCGUGAGGCUUAACCUUACA
This 1369-nucleotide ribosomal RNA is filed under the name Salmonella enterica. Its description in RNAcentral is "partial 23S ribosomal RNA". It matches the Rfam family "Bacterial large subunit ribosomal RNA", at positions 1583 to 2925 of the family's 2925-position model. RNAcentral also lists the same sequence under 1 other name. Lineage: Bacteria; Pseudomonadati; Pseudomonadota; Gammaproteobacteria; Enterobacterales; Enterobacteriaceae. The record is from RNAcentral.